AUUGAACGCUGGCGGCAUGCCUUACACAUGCAAGUCGAACGGCAGCACGGAGCUUGCUCUGGUGGCGAGUGGCGAACGGGUGAGUAAUAUAUCGGAACGUACCCUAGAGUGGGGGAUAACGUAGCGAAAGUUACGCUAAUACCGCAUACGAUCUACGGAUGAAAGUGGGGGAUCGCAAGACCUCAUGCUCAUGGAGCGGCCGAUAUCUGAUUAGCUAGUUGGUAGGGUAAAAGCCUACCAAGGCAUCGAUCAGUAGCUGGUCUGAGAGGACGACCAGCCACACUGGAACUGAGACACGGUCCAGACUCCUACGGGAGGCAGCAGUGGGAAAUUUUGGACAAUGGGCGAAAGCCUGAUCCAGCAAUGCCGCGUGAGUGAAGAAGGCCUUCGGGUUGUAAAGCUCUUUUGUCAGGGAAGAAACGGUUGUCUCUAAUACAGAUGGCUAAUGACGGUACCUGAAGAAUAAGCACCGGCUAACUACGUGCCAGCAGCCGCGGUAAUACGUAGGGUGCAAGCGUUAAUCGGAAUUACUGGGCGUAAAGCGUGCGCAGGCGGUUAUGUAAGACAGAUGUGAAAUGCCCGGGCUUAACCUGGGAACUGCAUUUGUGACUGCAUGGCUAGAGUUUGGCAGAGGGGGGUAGAAUUCCACGUGUAGCAGUGAAAUGCGUAGAUAUGUGGAGGAACACCGAUGGCGAAGGCAGCCCCCUGGGUCAAGACUGACGCUCAUGCACGAAAGCGUGGGGAGCAAACAGGAUUAGAUACCCUGGUAGUCCACGCCCUAAACGAUGUCUACUAGUUGUCGGGUCUUAAUUGACUUGGUAACGCAGCUAACGCGUGAAGUAGACCGCCUGGGGAGUACGGUCGCAAGAUUAAAACUCAAAGGAAUUGACGGGGACCCGCACAAGCGGUGGAUGAUGUGGAUUAAUUCGAUGCAACGCGAAAAACCUUACCUACCCUUGACAUGGCUGGAAUCCCUGAGAGAUCGGGGAGUGCUCGAAAGAG
Molecule: ribosomal RNA, 1002 nt
Filed under: uncultured bacterium
Lineage: Bacteria
Description: bacterial SSU rRNA
Rfam family: Bacterial small subunit ribosomal RNA
Source: RNAcentral